Molecule: ribosomal RNA, 533 nt
Filed under: uncultured Desulfovibrio sp.
Lineage: Bacteria; Pseudomonadati; Thermodesulfobacteriota; Desulfovibrionia; Desulfovibrionales; Desulfovibrionaceae
Description: bacterial SSU rRNA
Rfam family: Bacterial small subunit ribosomal RNA
Source: RNAcentral
AUCAUGGCUCAGAUUGAACGCUGGCGGCGUGCUUAACACAUGCAAGUCGAACGCGAAAGGGACUUCGGUCCUGAGUAAAGUGGCGCACGGGUGAGUAACGCGUGGAUAAUCUGCCCUUAUGAUUGGAAUAACAGUUGGAAACGGCUGCUAAUACCGGAUACGCUCAAAAUGAACUUUUUGAGGAAAGAUGACCUCUGCUUGCAAGUUAUCGCAUAAGGAUGAGUCCGCGUCCCAUUAGCUAGUUGGUGGGGUAAUGGCCCACCAAGGCUUCGAUGGGUAGCCGAUUUGAGAGGAUGAUCGGCCACACUGGAACUGAAACACGGUCCAGACUCCUACGGGAGGCAGCAGUGGGGAAUAUUGCGCAAUGGGCGAAAGCCUGACGCAGCGACGCCGCGUGAGGGAUGAAGGUUUUCGGAUCGUAAACCUCUGUCAGAAGGGAAGAAACUGUGCUGUGCUAAUCAGCAGUGCAUUGACGGUACCUUCAAAGGAAGCACCGGCUAACUCCGUGCCAGCAGCCGCGGUAAUACGGAGGG